Molecule: long non-coding RNA, 855 nt
Organism: Manis javanica (Malayan pangolin)
Lineage: Eukaryota; Metazoa; Chordata; Mammalia; Pholidota; Manidae
Source: RefSeq, a predicted model, not a curated record
AACAUUAAAUGUUUUGAGGAUGAAUGCAAGUAAAUGGGAAACAAAUGACAAAGUGCUCACAGCCCUAUUCCCUCAUGUAGAUUUUGACAUUAAAAAAAAGAAAUCCCUUUCUGUUACCUUCUCUCAAUGCCCAGUUCAGAAUUUCUGAAUUUGUAUAGACUGUGCCAAGGAGAAACCAAAAUUACUAUUCUAGAACCAUAACGGAGAAAAGUGGGAUUUAUUUAGCAAUAACACAUUUCUGAAAUUGUCAUACGUGAUAUCACUGAGGUCCCAUGACAUCUUUUGAGAGGGGUUAUGGGUUUUCUCGUCCCCAAGGGACAGUGCAUAGGCACGUCUUGAAAGCUGACUACCAUUUUAACAAAGGAAGCCCCCCACAUAGAAUAAGAAGAGGAUUGAAAGAAAAGGUGCAGAAAUGUUCUAAGAGAACAAAAACAAAAAAUAAUUAAUUUUAAGGCUUACCUUAGGUUUCCUAACCAAGGUUUUUCUUUUUUAAUCAAUAUAUUUUUCAACCAAAAUAUAUCAACAAUUAAAACAGGAGACAGAGACUGCAACCCCAUCACAUCCCGUAAUGUUCCUGAAUCUGACUCUCUCAGUCAUGGUUGGCUACUUGCACCUCAAGAGUCUCUGAGGAGAAAUAUAGGCAGGAAAGCAUCUGGUUUCCUGAAUAAAGAAAUGGGAAAAAUCUCCAAUAAGGCUUUGAAGUCACUAAGAAUGCACUGGCCUGCCAUCCUGAGGAGCAUUUCACACUCAGAAGCCUACCUGAUGAUCUUAUGUAGAGUGAGUACGAUAUUGUCAUUUAUAAUAGGAAUUAUAUAUUUGGUCUUCCUCCUGUUUGUGGCACAGUACUCCUAAAAC